AAGAACUUAGAUCUUAGUAUAGUAAAUUGAACACUUAUCUGCUAAAGUGGAAGGACCCAUGCAAUGUUUAUUUAAGGAUUGUGAGAGGUCAGAGUUGUGCACCAUGUGCCAGGAUACUGGAAUGUGAUGACCAUCCAGAUACCAUGCCAGGGUAGAGUGUUCCUCAGAGCAUUAUGAAUAGUUUAUUCCAAGAGUGACACAGGACAAGAAGGAACAAAGAAGAUCAAAAGAAGGACAUCUCACCAGAAGCACUAGAGACUUCCCAGCUCUUUGUGGGAGAAUCUCUUCAUUAUUCCAAGACUGACAGUCCACUUCUCAGCCAUGAAGAUCUGCCUUCUCAUUCUCUUCUUGAGGUGGCUGGAUUCUUCAAUUCCUCUUCAAACAAGUUGUGCACUAGUUUGAGAUGCUGGAGAAGCCCUGUCAGCUCGUUACACAUCUGUUGGUCUUUUUCAUUUCAGCUGCACACCCAGAAGACGUCUCAUAGGAGUGGCAUGAACUGUCCAAAAGUGCUUUGGGGACAAUUUUUUUUAAAAGAAAGAGACCAGGAGUUUGUGUUUUUCUUUAUCGAGCCACAUGCUAUUUUGUGGGAAAGAAGCUAUCAUAAAAUAGCCUUAUGAUAUCAUUGUAUGAUGUGUUUCUAAUUCAUACGAUUUUGUAAAUUUGUA
Long non-coding RNA from Hemicordylus capensis (graceful crag lizard), 665 nucleotides. RefSeq lists it as uncharacterized. NCBI's taxonomy places the organism in Eukaryota, Metazoa, Chordata, Lepidosauria, Squamata, Cordylidae. The record is from RefSeq and is a predicted model, not a curated record. The transcript has 3 exons.